Molecule: long non-coding RNA, 570 nt
Organism: Momordica charantia (bitter melon)
Lineage: Eukaryota; Viridiplantae; Streptophyta; Magnoliopsida; Cucurbitales; Cucurbitaceae
Source: RefSeq, a predicted model, not a curated record
CACAUAACGGUAAUGGGACCUAUCGCUUAAUAGGAGAAUGGAUAAGAACGUCUGAAACCUCCCUCCCGAUUGCCCCUUUCACUGAACAAAUCUAAUCUAACAAAUCUAAAAGUUGACACCUUUUAGGUUUCAACUUCAAUUCCUUCUUCGAUCUUCGCGAUUCUGUGUUGCUUUCACAAUUCUAAUGGCGUUGGAGCUUUUCGUCUUGGGCUGUACCGGAGUUGUGGUCUUCCUCCAUGGCGCUAAUUUCUUCUUCCACGCUUUCUGGCACCGCUUCACCGUCCGAUCUCUCAGCUUCUUGGGUGCGAUUGGAUGGUAGGAAUUGGAGAAGCCGAGUAGUGGAUCAUUUAAUCGAAGAUGAACACGAGAUUGGAGAUUGUAUAUAUCGGGCAAUUAUGAUUUGAACUCACAAUCUAGGAUUACGAUUUUUAACUGUGAUAACGAUGAUGAAGUAAUAAUCAAAUUUACACAACGCAUGGUUUAUCAUUGAAUGUCGGUUGGCUGAUUAUCUAAUUUCUUGUGGAUUGUAAUUCUACUUCUCUGUGCACUGCGUUUCUCAUUUUUAUGACA